UAAGCCUUUAAAUUCUCUGCUUCUAAGAUUUAUGAGUUCUUCUGUAAUGCACCCUGCUGUGUCCUUUGUUACAAUCUGUAUCUUCAGCAGGUGGUUAAUGGUGACCCACUCACAUGAUCGUUAAUUAUACUUUUUUACUGCAUUAGAUGAAUUGCAUGAAAAUUCACAUACUAAAUUGCAGUUGACUCUGACCUAGUUAACAAGUGCCAGAGAUGUCUUGCUUAAUCUGUUUUUGAGAAGAAGUUCGCCUGACUUUUUAUAAAAAGCUUCUGUAAUUUUGUUGUUUGUUGCUGUUUGGUUUCUAAUUCAUCUGUGGCAAUUGGAUCUUCUGAAAGAUACUCAAUGAAUUACCAAUUCUCUGGAACUGUGUUGCCUUCUGAUUCAAUCACACAGAAUAAUAUGACCCAUUGCUCUUAUUUGUGUCAAUUUUAUUGCACAGUAUUAUGUCAUGAACAUGGUUUGUGGUUGAAAAGGGAAUUGUAUUGCUAUGCUACGGUAGUGGGGAAAAAAUUAAGAGAUAAAUCAUGAACAUCCCUUGCUAUGGUCUAAUAGCCAUCCUAAUAGUCUUGUUCUAUAUUUACAUGUAAAAGCUAAUUUAAGAGGCAAUAUUUUCUGAAAAAAAAUAUUAUCUACAUCAGGAUGUUGUUAUAACUUGAAUAAUCUGCAAAUUAUAUAAGUUGGUUGUCUACCAUACAUCUAGUCAAUUCAGUGCAAUUAGUAAGAGCCUUGACUGGGGAACAUAAGUAGCCAUUGUUUUUAGUGUUCAGGUAGCCUUUUGUACCUCAUAAAAUAGUAUUUUUCCAUUAAGUGAGUUUUCCACCUUUUUUUGCAGUGGUGGGCAUUACUGUUUAAGGGCUUUUCACCAAAAUGUUUUUGUAUAAAAGAGAGAUUAAAAAAAAACCCAACACUUUAAAUUAGAACAACUCCCCUAGAAGUAUGGUUUAAGAGGAGGAACAGAAAUAUUAUUAUUAUUUAUCCUGAACUUGGAACUUGAAUAUAAGUAUAAAUUGUGGUAGUUUUAUUCUUACUCUAAGCUGCAAGAUGCUACCUAAUGCAAGCAAUAGCUUGAUAUUCUGCUUCACUACUGAUUUUGUGUUAAGUUUGAAAGUUUUAUGAAGAAAAGCUACAUACUGAUUCCACAACUACUGAAACAGUUAAUUACCUUGAAAUACACAAUACACUCAUUCUUCUUUAUUCUGAGUAGUAUAUAUAUGUGUGUGUAUAUAUAUACACUAGGCAGCACUUAUUGUUAGCUUACGAUUUGUUAAUUUUGUGCUUUAUUUUAUAUACCAUUUUCACUGACUGCUCAAAGUAAACAGUGGAGACAUUUUGCAUAUUUCCCUCCCAGGACUUUUAUUUUAAUGUAUCAUUUUUUACUUUAUUACCAGUCAGUGUGGUAUCAUAUGCAUAGCAAGCUGUAACUCUGAUAAGCUAUGUCAAAGCCCCACUGUGCUAGAUCCUAUCUUUAUGACAUUAUUGGAACUAAUGCACUCCAGAAAUAAUCGUGAGGAGUUAAAAAUGCUAUCCAGGAAGACACUGUGACAUGCAGCUAUCUAAAGAAAUUAUCUUCAGUAAUAAAAAGAGUAAAAGCAUUUACUAAAUUUGAUGAAAACUGGAAUCUGACAAUCUCUUUUUAUUUAAUAAAAUUAUGUAUAUUAUGUAUAUCGAUAACAAAGCUUUGACAAGCACCUCAGAUGUUUUAAACAGAAUCAUUAUACGCAUAUCUGAUUCUGUUAGUGUUAAGAGGCUAAGCUGAUUUAUUAGUACAGUAUUGCCUUAUGCUUGGAUUAUUCUUUGGACAUAUUUCUGGAGGGUUUAGUUUCACAGCCUCUUGGACAUCGUAUUUUGUUGACUAGCCAUCAUCUUAACUUGGCCAAGAGCUAUCAGAUGAGCUUGCUGCCCAAGCUCCAUAAAGUACAUCUGUUCUCAAUAGUUGACAACACAGUAAUCCUCCUCUAAAACUCCUUCUUGGGGCAGGCUAUAUCCUCACUUGCCCUGCAAAUUCAUCCUUUAAUUAGUUAGUUCUGCAGAUUCAUUGCCUGCCUUGUACAUUGUUUCAGUAAAACUUCCAGUACUGCAGAAUAUAAGAUGUAAUUAGAGAGAAAGAAGGGAUAUCACAAAUGGCAAAAAGACAAGAUUAUGGAAAUCGGACUAUUUAGCAGCACUGAGAAAAAGAUCCAUCUCAGAUAGCAUAACCCAUAGCUAUUGUCUUGUUUUCCCCAUGAAAGUCAAGGCAUUUGAAUUUCAACUGUUUCUAUUUUCUGUAUGUUUGUACUGUCCUAGAACUCUGUUAAUGAGGACAUCAGGUGAAACUGCAGAGAUGCAGUCACAUGUUCUUUUUUUUCUAUUAUGAUAUGAUUUUGAAUAAGGAAAAGAAGAUGUGGUCACAGAUAACCAUACCUUCAUUAUAGGUAUCUUGUCUGUAAACCAAAUUUCAGCAAAUAAGAAUCAGAUGAGGGAAAAGGAAAGUAACUGCUAGCAAGAGAGAGGGAGUGGAUGUGUUGGGCUUAUUUAUUCAACCUAACAGAGAUUACUUCCUUUUAAGAGUGUGUGAAAAAAUCUAAAUUAACAUUGUAGAAUGGCAGCAGAGAAUUUGCACUGCCUUCCCAUAAAGCCACUACUGUGAGUGCUCUGGAGAUUAGAUUAAUUGUUUUACUAAAGUAACUUCACCAGCUUCACAUUUCUAAUCAUUUUAUGUAAGUUUGUCUUUUAUCUAAGGUGUUUGCACUGUCUCUUUCUACUUUUAUUAAUGAUUUCUCAGAGUGUAUGAUGGUUGAAAACCAACCUGACACAGUGGCUGCAUAAAUCUGGAGAAUAUGUUUUGAAAUCUGUAGUACAGUCCAUGUACUAUUGGGUGUAUAAAUGAAUUUUGUGUAUCAUAACACUCCUAGAAAAACAAGAGGACAAAGAAGAUGGGAUUGCUAAGGGAGACAUUAGAUUUCAUUUCACACUGAUAAUAGUUUAGUGAUAGUGCUGAGCAAAAUGGGAUUCAAUUCUGUAGCACUCCUUUAUUGCAGCUAAGUGAUUUCAAUAUCCAGUCUAAAGUGAUACUGAUAGUGUUCGAUAGAAGGGGGAUGAAAUCUGAGAGCCCUGAAGGCUCAGAGGAGGCCACAAAUCUCAGGCUGACUCAACGGAUCUUUUCAGAGCCAUCCCACCUGACCUUAAGCCAUCUUAUUUAACCUGGAGGCUGCUGCGCCUAGAUAGCCAAGAGCAGAUCUACAUAGCGUGAAGGUAACUGCUGAAUGGAAGGUGAUCUCAGUGUAUGAUUUCCAUAUGACUUUCUUAUGCUAUUCCUGCCCUAUAAGAUAGAGAUGGUUUUGGGGCAUGAGUUGCUUGUGCUUUGCGACUGCACUGGCACUAGACCAGACAGCAAAAGAGCUUUCUAUUAGCAGCACGCAGAUAGACUGAAACCUUCCCCUCCAAUUGAAAGUGUGUGAUAUGAGAGAAGAAAAAAAAUAAUAAUUGCAUUUAUUCAUGUUAAUACUUUUUCAUCCUUGUGGAUUUUAUUUCUAGUAGUAGUUAAUUACACGCAAGAAGACCAAAUGAAUGUAAAGAAACAAUUUUGGGUGCUUGCAAAAUGUACAUUACUAAAACAACCUCCUAAAACAACACAAAACAAAAAAGUUUCUUUCUAUACUUUUUUUCAGUCCUUAAUUUCCCAGUUUCAGGGAAAUACUCUUUUCACGUGUCUAAAGCCAGUCUAUCAGCAUGGGGGCCUUUUGUUCUUUUCUGACUCAGGUACAGCUGCUUCUCUCUCUGGGUUCUCAAACAGAACCCAGCUUUCUUCAAUAUGGGGCACAAGUUUUCACCACGUACUUUAGAGUGAGAUAUUCUGAGAACAUCUUUUGAAGACCUAAGUAUUUGUUUCAGCAGCCCUUUUUCACCCUGGUACUAGGUUAGUAGAGAAUUUAAAAUCCACCCAUAUCCUGCAGUUCACUGUCUCCUUCCUUGAGCUGUUGCAUAUGAAACUCAUAUGCAGGCUGAUAUUAUAAUCUCACCAAUAGAUUUGUGUUCGUAUUAUUACAGAUUCGUGUUUAUAAUUUAUAAUUCCUCUUCUUUUCAACCAGUAGAGCCUUAGCAGUGGAUUUAGAACAAACUCUUGAGGUUAUUUGUUAAAAAGCGGAACCACUUAAUUGAAUGUAAUACUGUGCUAAAACACACUUUUUCUAGGACCUAUACUAGAGCAGCUCCCUGACUGCAAUACUGUGCUACAUGAGUGUACACUAAUGCUCCUGAAGCUUGGCCUGCCUGGACUGUAAUUGAGAGGUUUGGGAAGGCUGUCCUUGAAUUUUACUUGUGUGCCAGAUCAUGACUACAGCCCAGUACUAUGUGUUGGUGAGACUUCCCUGUGCAACCCAUGAGAUAUUCAGUGAAGCUCUCUCAGGUACAGCCAUGAUCAAGUCAAGAACCUGUUGGUAAAAAUCAGGGACCAAAUUAACAAAGGAUGUUGGGUGAUCAAGGUCUACUACAGGCUGCCUGACCAGGAGAGCCUAUGGGUGAAGCCUUCUUGCUUUGGCUACAGGAAGUGUUGUGCUUUCAGACUUUCAUCUUGAUGGGGAAAUUCAACCACUUGUCUGUUUGCUGGGAAAUCCAGUAGACUCCUGGAGUGUGUUGAGACCUCCUGAUCCGGCUAUUGAUAAAAUGACCAGAGAAGAAGUGUUCCUAGACCUAGUGUUCACCAAUUAAGAGGAGCUUGUUAAAGAGGUUAAGGUUGGAGGCAAUUUGAGAUGUAGUGACUGUGCCCUGGUAGAGUUUGUGAUCUUGAGGAAUAUGGGCCUGGCAAAAAAUGAAAUCAGGACUUUGAACUUGUAGCGAAAUUUUUGGCUGUUUAAGGAAUUAUUGAGAUUGCCUUUAGAGAUAAAGGUGCAGAGUAGGAAGUUCUUUAAGGAUGCUUUUCUGAAAGCACAAGAGCUCUCUGUCCAUCAGCAUAGGAAUCAAGCAGAGGAGGCAGAAAAUCAGCAUUGCUGAAGAAAGACCUGCUGGUUAAAAACCUGUGGGAAAAGAGGAACAUGGAAAGGCACUGGAAACGGGGAUAUGUGGCCUGGGAAGAAUACAGGGCAUGCAGAGAUGGGAUCAGGAAAGUCAAGGUGUGGAAUUUGGUGAUGGAUGAGAAAAAUAACAGGAAGUGAUUCUAUAGAUACAUUAGUCAAGAAGAGACAGACCAAGGAGAGUGUAUCCUCCCUCUGAUAAAUGAGAAGUGGAAACUGUCUACAACAGAUAUGGAGUAGACUGAGGUCUUCAACAAGUUUUUUGCCUCAAUCUUCACUGGCAGUCUUCCUACAUCUCUUUAGGCAUAGGACAGGGGAGAAAAGCCAUUCUUUUUCUGGAAGAGGAGAAUAAGUCUGAGAUCACCUCAAGAGGCUGAAUGUGUACAGGUCUAUGGAGCAGAUGACAUGUGUCUCAGAAUCCUGAAGGAAUUGGCUGAUGUGGCUGCCAAGAAGCUCUGCAUCAUAUUUGAAAAGUCUUGACUGUUGGGAAAAGUUCAUGGUGACUGGAAAAAGGGAAUCAUCACUCCCAUUACUAAGAAAUGGAGAAAGAAAGACCUGAGGAACUGUAGGCUGAUGAGCCUUGCCACUGUGCCUUGGAAGAUCAUGGAAUGGAUCCUCCUGGAAGCUAAGGCACGUGCAAGACAAGGAGGUGAUAUGAGAUAGCAUGACUUCACCAAGGGCAGAUAGUGCCUCACCCAUCUGGUGGCCUUCUACUAUUGAAUGACAGCAUCAGUGGACAAACAAAGAGCAACUGAUGUAAUUUACCUGGACUUCUGCAAGGCUUUUGACAUGGUCUCACACCAUGUACUUAUCUCGAAAUUGGACACAGGUGGAUCUAAAGGUUAGAAUAUUCGAUGGAUAAAAAAAUCUGUUGGAUGGUCACAGCUGGAGUGUUGUUGUAGUGACUCUAUGUUCAGGUGGAGGCCAGUUAUAAGUGAUCUCCCAGAGAUCAGUCUUGGGACUGGUGCUCCUCAACAGUGACACAGAUGAUGGAAUUGAGUGCACCUUCAGCAAGCUUGCUGUUGACACCAAGCUGACUGGUGCAAUUGACACAAUAGAAGGAGAGGAUGCCAUCCAGAGAGACCUGAACAAGCUUGAGAAGUGGGCCCACAUGAACCUAAUGAGUUUCUACAAGGCCAAGUGGAAGAAGACACAGCACCAAGAGGAGAAACCCCAAAUCGUCACUGGUCUCUGCAAAUGGAUUUCAACAAUAAGCAGAUACAAUAAGCAGGUCCUCCUUCUCUAUUUUUCCUUUUACAAAAUAGAACUUCAGAAAAUCUCCUUGAAAAAGGAACAGAAACAUGAGGCAGAAACCCAUGGUGUCCUGAGAAGGUUACCUGCUGAGGGAAAAAAAAAAAAAAAAAAAAAAAAAAAGAAGUGGUGGGAGACCUUGAAAGCAAAAUCAUGAAGGGAAAUGUGCUUUGUCCCAAUGGCAGAAGUCACAGCCCAGUCUCUUCUGUUACUGAAUCUGUUGGAUGCAAUGCAGAUGCCACAUAACCAGAUGAAUUUUGAAUCACAGAAUGGCCUGGGUUGGAAGGGACCUCAAGAUCAUGAAUCUCCAACCCCCUUGCCACAAGCAGGGCCACCAACCUCCCGAUUUAAUACUACACCAGGUUCCCCAGGAUCCCAUCCACCCCGGCCUUGAAUAUCUCCAGGGAUGGGGCAUCCACAUGGUUUCGAGCUAAUAAAGAAGGUGCAGCAACACACAGUUGUUUUGGCUUCUCCAUGCCUGGUUUGCUGUCAGUGUGAUCAGAGAGAAGGAAUCCUUCUUGAAGGAUGUCUUCCCAGAGCUGAGGUGUCACAUCUGAAUUAAGUUCACAAAGGACAAACCAAUUCUGAAUUUUGUGCCUGCAGUAUCCCAAACAUGUAUGGACAGUUAGUCUGAAAGUAUAACGGGGACAAAGAAACGGACUUUGCCAAAGAAAUAUCAACAGGACUGUCAAAAAGCUACUUAAAAUGUUUAAGACUGUGAAGACUUGGGGUUUGGACAGAAGUGACUUAGCACAUUAUGGAGGAAGGUGCUUGAACGUGCUUCUGAGGGCGGCUGUUUCCUUUCACUUCUGCCCUGUACCAAAAGAAAUGAAAGAAGAAAGAAAAACAUAGGAAGAAAGAGAAAGAAAGGUGUGAGAGACAGCUUUCAUGUACAACUGAAGGGGUUUCUGUGCUGAAUCAAAAAUGUUCAGUGUUGAAGAGAAUGCUUUGGCUUUUGAAUAUGGAGAGAAGGAGACAUUUCCCAUCACUGUGACUAGUCUUUUUAAAUGGAACUGAAAUGGAACUUUCCAAAAGUCCACCACUUUGCAGCAACUGGUGUCCUCUGCGAGAGGGAGGCACAAUGUUGGAAUUUUUCUAUAGAAGGUAUGUAAAUGCAAAGCAACCUGAGAGUAGCAGUCUCACUUCCAGUAGUCUUCAUCAACGUGAAGUGUGUUUCUCUUCAUUUGCACAAGAACUGCAUAAAUGUAUUUCUGCCUUCAUUUGAAGGAAAUCUUGGCAUCAACCAACUCACGUAAGGCAUAUAUCUCUUCCUGUGCAAUACAUUUUUGUCUUUCCCUCCCAUUUAGUGGUUUCCAGAUCACUCAGUUCCUCUGAAUUGUCCUGUGGCACUCACAAUGGGUCUGUCUUGGAGCUAUCCACUGAGACAGAUGCUUUUAAAACCUUGGAGAAUCAGAUGUCUUCCUGUUAGGGCAAUUUCUGCUUGAGUUAACUAGUCUAUUUCCAUGUUUUUCUCAGCUUAAGGGUCUGCCAAGUGCUAGGAGCCUACAUUUCAUUUAAUUUUAGAAUCUUCAAAAUAUUCAGCAUGCACCAAAAACUAAAGAGUAAUUCACAUCUCACGGUUUCCAUAUAAGUGGAAUGAUGCACUAAAACUGAGAAACAUUUUUUGAAAGUGAUACGAUAAAUUAUUUCUACAGUUUACUAAGAUAUCUGUUAGUCUAGAAUUAGUUCCCUAUAGACUAUAGAUUGACUAUAUUUUCUUUCCUCAAUGAGAUUUAUUUUUCCACAACACAUGCUGUUUGGAACUGUGAUGUAAGUUCAAUUUUUAGCAAGUUUGCAGAUGAAAGUAAAAUCUGAAUCUGUUGCUUGUACCUGAAAAAGCAUCUCUAAUAUAAACAUUGCUGUGUAAGUGAAUAGUGCUAAGAAAGUAUAAGAGAGAAUAUUUAAAGUUACUGUAUUAUAUUAUGGUAGUUAAAGUUUUUCUACGUGUGAACAUCUCCCUUAAGCAAAUAGCGCUGUGAUGAAAAAUGAUUGUUUCAUUUCUGAAUUUCGAGCUGGCAAGCUAUAAUCAUUCUAUCAGAUUUUCUCACAACGUCAGAUUGAAUUUAUUGUUUCCAGUACACUGGGAAGCGUGAGACUUAUGUGAGCCAGUGUGAGAUGAGGUGCCAGAGAAAAAGUUCAAAAUCACUCAGAUGGAACAACUUUUAAGAUGGGCUGUGAUUUUCAGUAUCUAAAAAGAUAAAAUGUUUGCUUCCUGAAAUUAGCAUUUGAAUUUCUCUAUGAAGCAAUGGGAAGGGCUACAUUUAACUUAUCAUGAUGUCCAUUGCUCAGAAAAUUCAAGAACUUCUGGUAGUAUUUUAAGAAACUCGAAUAAAUGUCAAAGAGCAUACAAUUUAUACAAUUGGUGCUCUGAAAGUAAUGUCUCCUCUUUUAUUAUGUUGGCCUAUGACAUCAGAGGUGGAUGCUGGUGGUUUGGCAGUAGAGGUUGAACCUUCUCCAUCACAUGUUGUUUCCAUGUGACAAAUAGCAGCAGAGUGGCAGACUGACAGAAUGGCAUCUGAAGCAAAGGUGUGUCACUGAAUUCCUCCAUGCAGGAGAAAAUGGUCUCCUUCAGCUAAAAAUAUAUCUUUUAUCAAUUAUAAAAAUAAUUUUAAUCUUUAAAAUUUUUAACAAACCUUGCAUAAAUUAAGAAGAAGAAUGAGAAAAAGCAAUGUGAUAUUUCCCAGAGAUCUACAGAGCAAUAUUCUAUACUGUUUCUUUCUUCUGAGCUUUCAAGGAAAAUAAAAUAACAUUGAGGAGAUCCAUUUUCUAUGGAAACCCAUAAACAGGCUAGCCACUACUAAAAUACAAUUGAAAAAAAGAAACAUAGUUUUCCAUUUACAAGAGAUUGUUCAAAAGGCAACUGACUGCAUCAACUUUUCUCUCUCACAGUUCUGAUGACAGUACUAAAUGUAACCUCAAGAACCACUUGGGAUUUUCUUAAUAUUUCUUUGACAAAGAGCUAUUUUUUUUGUCGGCAUAGAAAGUGAAAUACACAUAGGCAGUAGGAGCAUGGAGGAGUUUAUCCUUAUGUUAUUUCUGGUAUAAGCAAGGAGGCUCGCAAGCUUUGUUUGUCUGGAUGCUAUCAGUGAGGAUGGUGGUGGUGGUGGCAACAGCAGCUCCUGACCUGCCAAUCCCUCUCAGAGAGGGACAGCUAUUUCUCAAGCAAACACAUAGUUUACCUGCACUGUAUGUGCAUUAUAUAGUCAACUCCUUCCAAAAUAUCUUACCCAGUAUGCCUAUGUGUGACAGCAGAUGUCCUGUGCAAGGGCAGCUGAGUGUAAUUGGAAAGUUUUGUUUUCUAUCAUAUAGCAUGAUAGUAUGUUUGUGCCUUUGAAAUGUGGGAUAGAAACACAGCAGUCCUGUCCAUGAUCUCUAAAGCUAAAAUCCUAAGUUAGUGUCACCUGUGUUAACUCUUGGCAUUGCACUUACAGCCAAUACUGUACCACUGUUUACAGAGCACACUCCAGUACAGCAUGUACAAUCCAGAGCUGAGAUUUCCUGAGGAGAAAGUGCCCAAUGAUGGAAUUUUACUUUCCAUGUGUGGACGACUGAAGGACACUUUGAAAAGCCUUCUAUCAAUAUUAGAGGAUACUCGAAAGAGUUUAGAAUCUGCUUCCGUAAGUUGCUCAGAAAUCCAUUUAGUUUAAAAUAGAAAGUAACAGAGCAGGAAUGUAAUGCUGGUCAGGUGGAGUAGACUAGCUUCUUGCCUGGUCUUCUUGCUACCUCUGCACUCACUGCAGAAAUUGUGUCUCUUCCUUUGUCCAAAGUCAGAGGAAGGACCAGGCAGGGGGCCAAAGCUCAGUGUAGCUGGCUUGUAUUCACAUAUGAAAUUCAUCUGAUGGCAGCUUUCCUCUGCGGUAAGCUUUGAGAUGAGGAGGAGACAGAUGUGAGAGAACAUGUGAAGGCUGGCACUGAGUUUGAGACGAGGAGCCACAGGCUGUCAGUGGUGCCGCUGAAAAAGUCUCUUGCAGUGGCCCAAAGAGAUGAUAUCUGGAGAGUCUAAGGCUACAAGCUUAAUGCGUGCCUGGUCUCUCCCAAGCUCCAGUCCUUGUUUUAUUGGAAAUUUACUGAAUCACCAUGAAGAUUUGAGUUUAGUAUUAAACAAUGAACAACUGGAAACUAGUAAAUUUAAAACCAUCAAAAAGCUUCAAGAUUCUUCUUGGAUGAAAUCUUUGUUAUCCUGGAUUUACAAAUCCUACUGUAAUUCAGUGACAGUCAAACUUACUUUUUCCCACGUUCUUCAAAGCUAUAAAAAACUUUGCUUGCUACAGAAAUUGCAGAGUUAAAUAUACCUUCAGAUUUCUGUGAAUAUAAGCCAUUUCUCCCUGAAUUUUGUUGGCUAGAUUGAAUUUCUCUCUCUCUUUUUUUUGUUAAGGAAAUACGUAACAUUUGGUAUUAACUUAUUAGGUGUACUUGGUAAGUAAAUGUAUUUUAAAACUUUUUUACAGAAUGUUUCUUUCAAAAUAGCUGUAAGAUACUGAAAUACUUGUUUUAUAACAUCACCUAUCAUGAUUGAAUGGAACGAGGUAAUGUCCAACACUGUCUAUCUGAGUAACUUCAUCCUUCCUCCAAAUUUGCUGAACGAUCAUUUACUGUUUCCUAUUUCAGUUGAUCAAGCAUUUUAUUGAUGAACCUUAUAAAAAACUUAUUCAAAACCAUACUGGAAUUCAAUGACAUCUGAAAAUUGAAUGGCUUUUGUGCAUGGACCACCAUAGGUUGUAUCAGGAAGAUCCUGAUAUAUAACCAAGUAGUCCUCCAAAGACAAACCUCUCUCCAGGAGUAAAAUAUGAGCUACAGUCCUGGAGGGGGUUAACCCUCAGUUCAAGAAUAGUUAUUCAUUCCUGUAAUUGAAUACAAAAGAUGUAGGGAUUGAUUUUCACCUACACCCAAAUUCAUGGCUCCUGUGAGGGUCUAAGCUGCUGACAAAUAAUUUCAGCUUCAGCCAUUGAUUAUGCUUCCAUAGUGAACAUUAGAUAUACACUAAAAUUGAUAUAGCAUGUAUUGCAGGAGUCAUAUAAUAAGUACUCCCCAUUUCUUAGCCAAUCUGUCACUACUCUUAAGCUGUGCCAUGCACAGGAGAUGUAGGAUUUGCCUUCCUAAGGAGGAAAUGGCCAUCAAGUAGAAAAAUGAAUUCACCUUUAUUGUACUGUGGUGAUGUGGUGAAGAUAAUUACUGCAGCUCUAUUCCAUUUGUUUUGAAACACAUAGCCUUUGCCUUUUCAAAUUGCCUUGACCAUAUCACCACUCGUGUAUUUGCAAUGAAAAUCUGACAUCAGAGGACAGAAUAAUAGGAGAAAUCCUCAUUUCAUAUUUACCUUGUUUACUCUCCUGAGUCACUGAAAACACAGUGACCUAGGUCCAUGCUUUUAUACUUCUUUUUACUAUAUAUACACACAUAUAUAAAAAAAUCAGCGUGUGUACUGCCAAACUCUGUAGGUCGCUACUCAUCUUCCCAGGUAUCUUCACACAGCAUAAUUUCUGGUGCUUAGAAUUGAUAGACUGCAAAAAGUAGCACUCCUGUGUUCCCUCUCAUUCAUACUGUGAAUACUCAAUUCUCCAAGAAUUUUGCUGCUGGUUUCUGACCAGCCAAGCCCGUAUCAAAACCAGCCAAAGUCUAAUAAUAAUUUUGCCAAUUAAAACUUGUGUGCUAUUAUUUGGUGGGUUUUUUUUGUUUGCUUUUUAUUUAUUUAUUUUUAUAGCCUAAAGCAUACUGUACUGUCUGCUGUUAAAAUACAAUCCUUUCUGUUUACCUCCUCAUGGCUCACUGAAAAAAAAAAGAUACAUGCUUACAAUGACAGCUUUCAAAAUGUUUUCUCUUUUAUUUCUUCAGAUUUCUCCUCAAAGCUUCAAUUUAAUCAAUAAUUCUAACUAGCUAUCAGAGUACUUAUCUUUAUUUUUCCUAAUAAAAAUGAACAGUUGGAGUAGAAUGUGUCCAAAGCCAUUUUUAUCCAUUCCUUCUUCAUGACUUACCUCUUCUCUUUUGUGUAGCGAAUUUUAGCAUUUCAAAUUUUAAGGUAAAGAAAAAUCCUUUCCUUGAAGAAUUUCUCAUCAAGAGAGCCUUUUUUUUUAAAGUAAGGAUAGCAAAUCCAGCCUGAUGGAAUAAACACCUUAAGACAUUUUCCAUACAUGAAUAUCUCUUUAACAUAAUUAAAAUUCUAGAGAUUAAAUUCUUUGCAGGCUUAACUCAACUGAAAGAAUAAAAGACACUGUGAUAAAACUGUAUGAUUAUUUCGGUCUCCAUGUAGUAUAAAGUAUAAUUCCAUAGGAUUUCUUCAGUGACCCAUGUUCAUAGUGAUCUUAAUUUUCGCUUUGUCAGAAGAGCUUUAUGAUAGGUUAAUUCUUCAGAAAUACUUAUCAUCCUUUACAGCAUAUUUCAUUUAUUUCUCCAUUAUGAAAUGCAAUUUUUGGAAUUAUUAUUCUUUUUAUUAUUAUUGUUAUUACAGAACUUCCAGUGUUGGACAAAUUUACUGCUGGUACCUUCCUGUUUUCAUCCCUUUUCUUCCAAUUCCAGUGCCUAAACAAUUGAUUGUUCACUUGGAAAAACAAUUUGUUUUCCCUAAUGAAAAAAGAUAAGACUGCAUUGCCUAUUUUGUGUGGAACCGGGGCUCCUCCACCUUCUGCAUUUUAUCCUAUUACAUCAUAAGUCUUACUUCUAGAGAGAAAUCAGAAUGAGAGAUUGCAGCCUGUAGAGCUGCUACUUAUAUAGUUGCUACAGCUACUAUCUUAGCAUGCUCAAACAUAUUCCUGAUCUGCUUUUUUUUUUCCUCAGAUUUUUUUACUGAUUAAUGGUGGUUUUCCUGAUAUGUUAGAAUAUCAUUGUUGUAUCCGCAGAAAUACUAUCUCUCAUUUGAAGGGUGGUGGGAUUUUUUUCAACUUAAAUGUUUACUUUGUGCAUAAUAAUACUAAUUUCAGUUCCUAAUUUUCCAGUAAGGCAAUUAGGACACUAAAAGUUCCCAAUCAUGGAAAAAAUAAUUAGUUGCUAGAAGAUAAAGAUUUGCAAAUUUGAACAAAUUUGUAUGUAUUUAUGUAUAUAUGAGUUGGUUUGCAUGCGCAACUUUGAAUUUUACAUAAAUGACAUGAACUCAUUUAAAUAUAUAAAAGUUAAAAUCCAGUAUUUUUCCAUUCAUGUUAUGUGGAAUUUAAUAGCUUUUUAAAAAAGGCAUGCAUUUUCAUGUAUUGAAAUGUAAGCAAAAUUAUGUAUAUUCUUCAUUAACUUUUGCAGUGUGGAUAUGUAAGUGAAACUAAGCACUCAAAAAGCUAAGCAAAGUUUGUCUUGUUUACAUAAAAGUUUUGGUAAAUUACAUUCUCCACCCCACAAAAGAAAAAAAAAAAAAAAAAAAAAGGAAAAAGACAGCAUUAAAAAAAAAAGAAAGAAAAAAGAAAAAAAAAACAACCAAUCUUAUGUAUUUGUGAUUUUGGAUAAAAAAUGCAUUGCUCAAAGACUUUCUUCUCUAUGACUCAAACUUUCCAAAGGUUUUGAGUCAAAUUAUAUCUGAGUGUUCACUUAAAAAAAGGAAAAAAAAAAAACCCAACAAAACAAACAAACAUGCAGAAACAGAACACAGAGUUCUGUAGAAGAUAGCUAUGGUAACCAAAAACCUUUCUGUGAAUGGCCGAAAUACCCAAAUGUUGGACUCACUGGAACAGGAUAUCUGUUGUAAAGGAAAGCUGAUGAGAGAUGUUCAUACUGUUGAAUGUUUCAGUCCCAGAACAUCACUGAAGUUCAAACUGGUAGCAGUGAAAGAGGUAAGAUCUCCAAGACAAGAUCUCAAAGAAAGAAGAAAGUGAUGAGAGUACUUAGCUCUGAUAACUUCAACUCACCUGACUAGCAGAGUUUUGGAAAAUAUUUGUUGGUUGGCAUGAUGAACCUUGAAAAAUCAGGUGGUUAUAUUUUUGAGCUGUGGCUUGUUGUUUUUGCUCUUUGCAGUCAUUUUGCAUUCCUUCAUAGAGCCUGAAAGGGAAAAGAGUUAAGGUAAUACACAUAGAUCAACACUGAGAUUAGAUGUCAAUAUAUUCACUUGACUGUUUCACACAUUAGAAACUUAUAAGAAAACAUUGCUCAGUUGUAACAUUAAGCAGCAGGGUUGAAGUAAAUAAAUGCAGGGUGGGCAGCAAGUAGAUAGAUAACAUGUCUUCAGAAAAAAUUGGGAUAAAGAUUUAAUAUUUUUGCUAAAGCAAAUGUUAAGCCAAAUUAUGCUGUAAUGUGGCUUGUAAAAUAGAAGAUGAAUUACCCUAUAAUACCCAGAACUUCUAGCAUCCACUGAAGGGAAUUCCCUUUCAUUUUGGGCAUGCAUCUUCAAGAAAAACUGUAAAUGAAUAGCGAAAGCCCAAAGAAAUAUGAAAAAAAAAGAAUUUGAGAAAUGCAGUCUAUAAAGAAGCUUGUGAAUUCCCAUUUGUACUAUAGUUAAAAAUAGCAAAAAUAGCAAAAUACAUGAAGGACUGUUGCAAAGAAGGCAGCAAAUGUUGUUUUUUUAUAAUCUGUAUACAGAAGACAAAAUGCAUAAGUUGAAGUUACAUAGUAGAGAAAAGUUUCUAAAUGCAAGGCUUGCGAGACAUCAGAUCUGGAUAAAGAGGCUGCAGAUUAUUCUCACUGAAAGACUUUAAAUACAUAUGGAAAAACAACUGCUAUAGCAGACACAGUCCCAAUUGAUCCAGCCUUGGAAAAUAAGCCUGGUCUCCUGUUAAGAGCCAGCCACUUGACUUAAACAAUACUGUAGUUUAUUAAAUGUGAAGGAGUGAAAAUGACAGAAAACAGAACGGAAUGGUGACAUAUCUCCAGAUAGGUACAAAAAAUGCAGUUUUAAUUAUACCUUUACUGUUUUUUCCUUCUCCAGCCAAAAGUACUUCCUUUCUAAGUUUGGCUGGACAUAAUGUUACCUCUAAUUUGAUUUCAUUUUUAAGAAUCUUUUUUUUUUUUAUAUACACUCAUGUUUGUCAAUUUAAUAUUUAAUAAAUAUGUACAGCUUAAAGGUUUUUAUUGCGAUGCUCCACUUGCUUUAAAUUAACCGAAGUUCAAUGAGUAGCCACUUUCAAAUAUUCAAACAAAACAUGUUUUAAUCUCAAAUUGUAGUUGUGUUGCUAAUAUUUGAUAGUUUUCAUUUUAGUACAGUAUAAUUCUAUUAAGUAGACAUUUGGUUCAACAGUUGACCCCACAUUUACACCAAAUAAUAUGGUGCUAAGUUUACUUAUAAAUGAAUAUAGUAUAAAGCUAACUGUUGUUUCUUCGAGAAAAGAUCUCUACAACAUAAAAUUUCCUCCAAGUCAAAGAAAGUUUAUUUCACUUCUGGUAAUUUUAUUGUGUGUAUACUAGGUGGAAAUACAGACCUGUGAAAAGGCUCAUUUUAGCAGGGGUAACAACUCACAGAAGUUAUUCUGAGGAAUAGGGUGGAAUGAAUCAUAUUCAUAUGUGUGUGUGUUGGAUGGCAAAAAUCAAUGCUUUCUCUUAGCAAAGACACUCUCGGGGAUAGAGAAAUCAGAGCUGCGAAAAACCUCACAAAUUUUGCCUGACAGAUUUUCCAGGCAAACUACACCGCUGGUGCACUGGGAGUGUGCUGACGAUGUCAGUCCCUGUGCCAGUUGGUGCAGCCCUGCUUGUGGCAGCUCGUUUUGGAGCUCUAGGGAGACCAAUAGCUCCCUCCAUUGCCCCAACACACCCAAGAUGCUGGCAAGCAGUCCUGGGGCUGUGAGAAGCCAGAGGCCUGCCCUGUGCAGCUUGGUGGAAGAUACAGUGCACGCGGAGAGAUGAGCCUAAAAAUGCACAGAAAAACAGGAAAAGGCAAAUGUGGAAGGGAAAGCAUUUCAGGGUGAAGGGAAAAAAUUGCUUAAGUCUCUAUCCUAUUAGCAUCAGUAGCACAACCUCUUCUAGCUUCAGCAAGAGACAGAUGUCAUCUUAUCGGCCUGCUUUGGUCCUGUUCCCUGUGAUGCCAGUGCUGUUGGAGGUGAGCAGUGGGCUCACCCCUCUGCAGAUGGCUAACAGUGGUCAGGUUCUGGGAUCCCAAUUACUGCAAGUGUUUAAUGGUUCUCUCUUACAGCAUCCCAAGCUCCCUGAAUCUUUAAUAAUACUCUUAUAAGCAAUAAUCACAUUGGGAAUGGUGUAUUCCUGCAGGCCUGUGCCACAAAAUGUAGCCAUUGUAGCUGCCUUAAAUAGCCCCUGGGGAACAACUGGAAAUUUGUUCUACACAGAAAAUGGCCACUUCUGAAAGAAUGGAAAGCAUCCUUUUCUUUCCCACCAUCACUGGCAAUUAUACCUCUGCCUCUUUAUUUGUCAGAGCUAAUAACAGCGAUGUUGUGACUCAGAAAAGUGCGGAUAAGACGAUGAAAGAUGCACCACCAGCAUGGUGCAGAUGACAACUGAACUGCCUCUGUUCCUUGUUAGUGAAAAUUAUUUGAUGUGAAUGUUGUUGCCUAAUAGGGCCCCAUCUGACUGCAAAUGAUUGUAGCACAGGCAGCAGAAUAAUGGAAAAUUGUUGCAGCAAGAUAGUUGCUAGGAUAAUGCUAGCAGUAAGAAAGGAAGUAAGUGAAAUUGAAAAUUACAUAUUUAACAACCAUAUAAAUGGCAAUAAUUAUUUGGGAACAGAAUUAUCUUAAUUUGCUUCUUCCCAUUGUGGGUCAUUAAUUACAGGAGUAAAUCUGCUAAUCUGAGUGGGAUAAUUAAAUCUUGACAUUGGCAUUGCCUUGCCAGUGUGAGCAAGGGGUUUUCAAAACAUGGAUGAGACAAUAGAAUUCCUCCCAUCAGUAGCAUGUUGAGGUGCCAUGGAAAGCUGUUGAAAGAUGGUACACAGCAGAACAAGGUGGAAGGCUACAGGGAACCACCCAAGUCUUUUCCAGCAAUCCUCUUACCUUUUCAACACUAUGGACCAAGAAGCAAUGCUGCUUUAUGUUAAAAAAAUAAUAAUAAUAAAACAAGAAAGAGCAAUCUCAGGACAAGAAGUUGCUACAGACAUAUGACCCUCAUUUCUAAAGGCAAAUCUGCCUUGCUUUCAUUUUUCAAAACAAAAGGGCAAGUCUGUUUACUUCAUUCUCAUCUGAAGGGCUGACCCUUGUUCUGCUAAACAGGAUAGAGCCUGCACUGAUUCUACCUGGAAAAUAACAUAGCUGAAAAUUAGGUGGUUUACACACACCAAAAUAUGAAGCAAUAAUGAAGUUGGAAGAGCAAGGCUGAGCCUCAAGCUAGAUCCGACUCAUACCAUGAAAUCAUCAGGUUUUGUAAGCUCAAGAGGGUUAGACUUCAUUACCUGAAUGAAAGACUUCACAAAAAGCCUCGGGAGCUGAAGGAGCAAUGGAUACUUCAGCUUGAAAUCAAUACACUGGCGUGCUGCUCGGUUCCUUGGUUCACUUUGUCACUUGGAGGUGAGUACCAGCAGGGUUUGAAUGCUUAUUGCCAUUACAAACCCUGCAGCAAGAGCAUCCCUGCAUCCUGUUAACGCUCAGCUGACCUCUUAGAGAAGAUUACUGGAACUAAAUACCUUGCUGAAGAAAGUGACCAAGCUGUUGAGCCUAUGUCUGCUCGCCCUUGGUCACAUCAAGCUCUGGUCCUUACAGUACAAGGGGACCCCUCUGCUAGCUCAGCUGCUGGGAAGAGUGGGGUCAUGAAGGCUACUGUGUGAUGCUUUCCCAGUAUUGUACCAGCCUGUGAGUUGGAGGUGGACACCCUAAGCUUAAGGUGGACUUAGAGUUGCAUGGUUUUUUUCUGUUUGCUUGCUUGUUUUUGUUUGUUUGCUUUUCAAUAAAUAUGAAUUUUUUCCUUUCUUUAGUUUUUCUGUCUUACCUAUUUUUAACUAUAUAGUUUUGACAUCCACAAAGCCCUGUGGCAAAGAAUUUACCAUUAUAUUACACGUGAGAAAAGGCAUUAUAUGUUUUGGCUUAUUUUGAAAGAUCAAUCUGAUCAUUUAAUUUGCCACCUCCCAGGUUUGUGUAAUGAAAGGUGACGAAAAAGCAAUUUUUGCUGAAUAGCCACACCACUUGCAGAGCUGCAGAAGUCCAUUAUAGCCCUUCUGCCUAUACCAUUUCUAUACAUACCCCAUGCUCCUUCUUUCACUGAGUUAAAAGGUCCUAGUCUAUUUACUCUUUGCUUAUAUGGACAUUUACCACAUUUGUGGCUAUCCCUGUCACACCUAUCAAUACCUUAUUUCAACAAAACGGUAAAGCUGGAAGACAGGAACUGCACACAGCACUCAUUAUGUGAGAGCACCAUUUAUCAGCACUGGUGUUGCCUGCCAUUUUAUCAUUCUUCUGGCUUCCUCCUAGCUGAUGAGAAGAGUUUGACUCAUUCUCACUCACAAUCAUGCUGCUAGCAUAGUUAUUGAUGCUAAGUUUAAAAGCAUGCAUUUUAGAUGAGAUCUCUCAUUACAUUUUAUUUCUUACUGGAGGAAUCAUUAGAAUGAGUGAACUUACACCAUUUAUACCUUUUCUACAUCAAGUCUAGAUGCUGGAUUGAAGUAAAGUACCCAUGAGUGUGCCGCACUCAUUGCAGGCACUAAUGCUGUUUAUCUGCUCUUUGCAGGCUGCGCUGUACUCAAGGUGACUCUCACAGAUACCUACAUGCAUAAAUAUUACACUAACCACUAUACCUCAAGAUAUACAUAAUGCAUUACUUAGUCGAAGCAGCAGCAUGAGGCAAUGCAUUACACAAGGUACUGACACUGAAACAGACUCAGGGCUCGUACCAGCACUGAGAGUGCUUAAUGGGGGCCUGCUCCUGACAGGCAGCAUCACUCAGCCUCUCACAAAAGAGGGCUAAGGUACUUACCCCAGAAAUUGGAAUGACUUUCUCCAUAGCAUAGAUCAGCUACAGCGCUGCUCGUUCUUGUAGCAUGAUUCAGUGUCUGAAGAAAAAGGAGUUGCUGCUGCUCACAAUGAGGCGAAUGAAUAUUUUGCCACUGGAUUCAGCGAAGAUAGAGAUCUACUUCUUGUGCUUUUCUGUAAGGAGUAAAUCAAACUGAUGUCGUUAGUGAAACAAUACACAUAACCCAUUUUCUGGGACUCUUACCAUGCACUAUUAGAUGCUCAGCUGUGGAUCACACACUGCGUGGGGUACUUGGGAGGGAGCUGCAGCUACAGUGGGUCCGCAGUGCAGUAGCUUGGUUUGAUCUCUGAAACUCAGCCCAGAAACUCCAGUGCCCUCAUUGUCCUACUCAAAGCUCCUCAUGCUUCAUAGGUACCACUGCUUGGGGAUUUUCACUGCUUCUGUUCUUUCAGCUUUUCUAGUUCUUCCUUUUUAUGUGUACUAGUAUGGUGACCAGCAAUUACUUAUGUUGUGGUUUUGUGAUUUCUGUUAUUGGUAUUCCACAUCUUAACAUCAUGUAGUGCACUGGGAGAUAGAGUUAAUGCUACAGUUCCAUGGAUUGCCAAUAGUUCUGGGUGCCUGUCUCAGAAGAGAAGAGAUGAACUACAGCUCCCAGAAGACUUCAUUAUUCCUUUUCUGUUUUUCAUUUAGAGAGAAAGAUAAAACUUUGGGAGUCACAAGACUGCUCUGUUUUUCUGCUUCAAUUCCAAUUGAAUUGUAUUAUAUUAUUUCACAUUCCGCUAUCAUAUUUAAUAAAUUAGUUUUUUAAAAAGCUAAUUAAAAACAAAACAAAACAACAAAACAAAACAAAA
This is a long non-coding RNA of Tympanuchus pallidicinctus (lesser prairie-chicken), 19834 nucleotides long. RefSeq lists it as uncharacterized. The record is from RefSeq and is a predicted model, not a curated record. The transcript has 15 exons. NCBI's taxonomy places the organism in Eukaryota, Metazoa, Chordata, Aves, Galliformes, Phasianidae.